CUUGAAUAAAAUAAGAGGUCCAGCCUGCCCAGUGAAAUUAUUCAACGGCCGCGGUAUCCUAACCGUGCGAAGGUAGCGUAAUCACUUGUUCUUUAAAUGAGGACUAGUAUGAAUGGCACCACGAGGGUUCUACUGUCUCCUUUUUUUAAUCAGUGAAACUAAUCUCCCCGUGAAGAAGCGGGGAUCUUUAUAUAAGACGAGAAGACCCUAUGGAGCUUUAAACAACCAACAUUUGCUACACCAUAACAUUUACCCUAAAAGAAGUAUAGCAUUAUGAUUACUAGUUUUCGAUUGGGGUGAUCACGGAGUAAAAUAUAACCUCCAUGCCGAAAGGGUUCUUACCCUGAGCAAAAAGCCACAGCUUUAAGCACUAAAAAAUUAACGCAGUUUGACCCAAUAUUUUGAUCAACGAAC
Molecule: ribosomal RNA, 414 nt
Filed under: Boana boans group sp. ABGD cluster 15
Lineage: Eukaryota; Metazoa; Chordata; Amphibia; Anura; Hylidae
Description: partial large subunit ribosomal RNA
Rfam family: Archaeal large subunit ribosomal RNA
Source: RNAcentral